This is a long non-coding RNA of Tripterygium wilfordii, 1455 nucleotides long. RefSeq lists it as uncharacterized. The transcript is spliced from 2 exons. NCBI's taxonomy places the organism in Eukaryota, Viridiplantae, Streptophyta, Magnoliopsida, Celastrales, Celastraceae. The record is from RefSeq and is a predicted model, not a curated record.
CGUGGACACAUAUUAUCAGAUUCUUAAAUAAUAAAAAGUAACUCCCACAAAAUUUGCUGCCGCAGAGUGGUUGUGACAAAACAUUAAUAGUAAAUUUGAAGGAUCGUAAGCGCAUAGUGGCAAAUAAGAAAGUAUGUAAAUAAAUCAUGAUGCUAAAGACAGUCUGAAUAACUUGAAAUCGAGAGUAACAUGACACCAGACAAUUUUAUCUUAUGCAGGGAGAAAAGGGCACUUGGAGGGGAGAACUUCUGAGCAUAUAGUUAGUUCCAAAAUAUGCAAAGCCACAAAAAAAAAAAAUCUCAGAUCAAAGAAUAAGUCUGGCAGUAACAACUGAAGUUCUUACUCAAAUGCAAGACAAAGAGAUUGGGAAGUUGGUGAAGUAAACCAUUGUCCAAUGGAAGGCAAGGCUAUGCUAUCUUUCUACAGUAAGUUAUCUAAUCAUCAGUUUUGUAUUUACAAUUAAAGUCUUUAUCUUGUAGGCUUAGCUCCUUUUACCUACAUGUUCCUAAACAUAAAUUUUUAGUUACCAAACACUUAUGGGGUAUUUGGUUGGUGUUUUGAGGGAGAAAUGAGGGUGGAAUUAGAUAUUCUCUUGUUUGGUUGAGUUUUGGAGGGUGCAAUCUCAAACUCAUUCCACCCUCUAUUCUCGCUUGGGGAGAAUAGCCAAGCUCACCAAAAUGGUGAGAAUGGCUAUUCUCCACAAGGGAGAAUGAGUUUGAUAUGUAAAAGACUCUUUUACACUUGUUAUAAAUAUUGUUUUAUUUUUUAAAAAGGUAAUAUGGAAAUUGUACUAUUAAUAUUCUCACAUUAAUGCUCACUCUUUAUUUUAUACCAAAGAUGACCAUUCUCACCCCGUACUCAUCUCACACUCACCUCGCACUCUCACCUCACACAAUUAUGAACCAAAUGCCCCAUUAGCGAUCACAAAAACACUCUGAGACAAACAGUCAUAACUGUCCCACAUUGAGGAAACUAGCAAAUUUCAGAUAAGGCUAAAAUUUUGUUUCUACACUUCUCAUGUUCAUCUUUAGGAUGGAAUGAAUGAAGGGAAAAGUACAGUUCUUGCCAAUUGAAUAUUUUCUUCAGAUAAAUGCCCCAACUAAUUUCUCUCUUUUUUUUUGAAUGAAAAAGAAUUUUAUUCAAGCACCAAGGGGGUGCAACCCAACAGAGAUUACAAGGGAGCAAGAUUCAAACGGUCAAAAAUAUUCGCAGAGAAGGACAUACUCCAAAACUUAAGGCAAUCAAACCAAUUAUCUAUGAAAUUGUCAAUCGAGGAUUCUUUGUUGUUGAGUAUUAUGUUGUUCCUCUCAAGCCAUAUCAUCCACAUCAUAGACAUUCUAACUCAUGUUCGUAGGUUUUGCAAAAUUUACGUUGGCUGCCAACCUACCACAGCCCUCCUCCUUUAUCCGGGCUAGGAACCAACUGCGCAGGCGGAGUUGAGGGAGUUUAUCUACU